RNAcentral lists this ribosomal RNA (19 nucleotides) under Ochlerotatus sticticus. Its description in RNAcentral is "partial 28S ribosomal RNA". The record is from RNAcentral. Lineage: Eukaryota; Metazoa; Arthropoda; Insecta; Diptera; Culicidae.
CCCCCAAUAAUGUGUGACU